AGAGUUUGAUCCUGGCUCAGGAUGAACGCUAGCUACAGGCUUAACACAUGCAAGUCGAGGGGCAGCAUGGACUCAGCUUUGCUGAGUUUGAUGGCGACCGGCGCACGGGUGAGUAACGCGUAUCCAACCUGCCCUUUACUCCGGGAUAGUCUCCUGAAAGGGAGUUUAAUACCGGAUGUGUUUGUUUUUCCGCAUGGGAGCGACAAAUAAAGAUUAAUUGGUAAAGGAUGGGGAUGCGUCCCAUUAGCUUGUUGGCGGGGUAACGGCCCACCAAGGCAACGAUGGGUAGGGGUUCUGAGAGGAAGGUCCCCCACAUUGGAACUGAGACACGGUCCAAACUCCUACGGGAGGCAGCAGUGAGGAAUAUUGGUCAAUGGGCGAGAGCCUGAACCAGCCAAGUAGCGUGAAGGACGACGGCCCUACGGGUUGUAAACUUCUUUUAUAAGGGAAUAAAGUUCGCCACGUGUGGUGUUUUGUAUGUACCUUAUGAAUAAGCAUCGGCUAAUUCCGUGCCAGCAGCCGCGGUAAUACGGAAGAUGCGAGCGUUAUCCGGAUUUAUUGGGUUUAAAGGGAGCGUAGGCGGGCUUUUAAGUCAGCGGUCAAAUGCCACGGCUCAACCGUGGCCAGCCGUUGAAACUGUAAGCCUUGAGUCUGCACAGGGCACAUGGAAUUCGUGGUGUAGCGGUGAAAUGCUUAGAUAUCACGAAGAACUCCGAUCGCGAAGGCAUUGUGCCGGGGCAGCACUGACGCUGAGGCUCGAAAGUGCGGGUAUCAAACAGGAUUAGAUACCCUGGUAGUCCGCACGGUAAACGAUGAAUGCUCGCUAUGGGCGAUAUAUUGUCCGUGGCCAAGCGAAAGCGUUAAGCAUUCCACCUGGGGAGUACGCCGGCAACGGUGAAACUCAAAGGAAUUGACGGGGGCCCGCACAAGCGGAGGAACAUGUGGUUUAAUUCGAUGAUACGCGAGGAACCUUACCCGGGCUUGAAUUGCAGGUGCAUGAGUCAGAGACGGCUCUUUCCUUCGGGACUCCUGUGAAGGUGCUGCAUGGUUGUCGUCAGCUCGUGCCGUGAGGUGUCGGCUUAAGUGCCAUAACGAGCGCAACCCUUCUCCCCAGUUGCCAUCGGGUAAUGCCGGGCCCUCUGGGGACACUGCCAUCGUAAGAUGCGAGGAAGGUGGGGAUGACGUCAAAUCAGCACGGCCC
This 1201-nucleotide ribosomal RNA is filed under the name human gut metagenome. RNAcentral's name for it is "bacterial SSU rRNA". It matches the Rfam family "Bacterial small subunit ribosomal RNA", at positions 8 to 1201 of the family's 1533-position model. The record is from RNAcentral.